UAGGGAAUAUUAGUAAUGGGCGAAAGCCUGAACUAGCAACGCCGCGUGUGCGAAGAAGGCCUUCGGGCUGUAAAGCACUUUUUGAGAGGAUGAGGAAGGACGGUACUCUCAGAAUAAGUCUCGGCUAACUACGCGCCAGCAGCCGCGGUAACACGUAGGAGGCGAACGUUAUCCGGAUUUACUGGGCGUAAAGCGCGUGUAGGUGGUUUGGUAAGUAGGGCGUGAAAGCUCCUGGCUCAACUGGGAGAGGCCGUUCUAAACUGCCGAACUAGAGGAUGGUAGAGGGAGGUGGAAUUCCGGGUGUAGCGGUGGAAUGCGCAGAUAUCCGGAGGAGCACCAGUGGCGAAAGCGGCCUCCUGGACCAUUCCUGACACUCAGACGCGAAAGCUAGGGUAGCAAACGG
RNAcentral lists this ribosomal RNA (403 nucleotides) under uncultured bacterium. Its description in RNAcentral is "bacterial SSU rRNA". It matches the Rfam family "Bacterial small subunit ribosomal RNA", at positions 355 to 775 of the family's 1533-position model. The record is from RNAcentral.